AACGUAGGAGACAAACGUUAUCCGGAGUUACUGGGCGUAAAGGGCGUGUAGGUGGUAAUGUAAGUCUGGCGUGAAAUUUUUCGGCUUAACCGGGAAAGGCCGUCGGAUACUGCAUGACUAGAGGACGGUAGAGGCGUGUGGAAUUCCGGGUGUAGUGGUGAAAUGCGUAGAGAUCCGGAGGAACACCGAAGGCGAAGGCAGUCUCCUGGCAAGUUACUGACGCUCAGGUGCGAAAGCUAGGGGAGCGAACAGG
This 253-nucleotide ribosomal RNA is filed under the name uncultured bacterium. Its description in RNAcentral is "partial 16S ribosomal RNA". It matches the Rfam family "Bacterial small subunit ribosomal RNA", at positions 524 to 776 of the family's 1533-position model. The record is from RNAcentral.